GGCAGCUCCAGGGCACCUGGGCAACAGCCACAAGCUCUCAAAGAGCACAGGAAGAAAUCAUGUCUUUAUGCACACGUGUGUGCAUGUGUGGUAUGUAUGCAUGGUGUGUGCACGUGUGCAUGAUUGCAUUGUGUGGUGUGUAUGCAUGGUGUGUGCACGUGUGCAUGAUUGCAUUGUGUGGUGUGUAUGCAUGGUGUGUGCACCUGUGCAUUGUGUGUGUGCAUGCGUGGUGGGUAUGUAUGGUGUGUGCACGUGUGAUUCUGCAUGCAUGGUGUGUAUGCAUGGUGUGCACGUGUGCACUGUGUGGUGUGUAUGCAUGGUGUGUGCACGUGUGCACUGUGUGUGGUGUGUAUGCAUGGUGUGUGCACGUGUGCACUGGUGUGUGCAUGGUGUGUGCACGUGUGCACUGUGUGUGGUGUGUAUGCAUGGUGUGCACGUGUGCACUGUGGUGUGUAUGCAUGGUGUGCACGUGUGCACUGUGUGGCGUGUAUGCAUGGUGUGUGCACGUGUGCACUGUGUGGUGUGUAUGCAUGGUGUGUGCACGUGUGCACUGGUGUGUAUGCAUGGUGUGUGCACGUGUGCACUGUGUGUGGUGUGUAUGCAUGGUGUGUGCACGUGUGCACUGUGUGUGGGUGUAUGCAUGGUGUGUGCACGUGUGCACUGUGUGGCGUGUAUGCAUGGUGUGUGCAUGUGUGCACUGUAUGCAUGCAUGUGUGGUGUGUGUGCAUGUGUGCAUGGCGUGUGCAUACGUGUGCAGCAGCACCUGGUCCCGUCUCCAGUGCCCAGCAGCGUCACACGCACUCUGGUGUUUUAUAAAUGCAUGGUCAGUGAGGCUGACAGCAC
Molecule: long non-coding RNA, 843 nt
Filed under: Pan troglodytes (chimpanzee)
Lineage: Eukaryota; Metazoa; Chordata; Mammalia; Primates; Hominidae
Description: long non-coding RNA NONPTRT009665
Source: RNAcentral